UAAGGAAUAUUGGACAAUGGUCGCAAGACUGAUCCAGCCAUGCCGCGUGCAGGAUGACGGCCCUAUGGGUUGUAAACUGCUUUUGUACGGGAAAAAACCUCUUUACGUGUAAAGAGCUGAUUGUACUGUAAGAAUAAGGAUCGGCUAACUCCGUGCCAGCAGCCGCGGUAAUACGUAGGGUGCGAGCGUUAAUCGGAAUUACUGGGCGUAAAGCGUGCGCAGGCGGUUUUGUAAGUCAGAUGUGAAAUCCCCGGGCUUAACCUGGGAACUGCGUUUGAAACUACAAGGCUAGAGUGUAGCAGAGGGGGGUGGAAUUCCACGUGUAGCAGUGAAAUGCGUAGAUAUGCGGAGGAACACCGAUGGCGAAGGCAAUCCCCUGGACCUGUACUGACGCUCAUGCACGAAAGCGUGGGGAGCAAACAGG
Molecule: ribosomal RNA, 424 nt
Filed under: uncultured bacterium
Lineage: Bacteria
Description: bacterial SSU rRNA
Rfam family: Bacterial small subunit ribosomal RNA
Source: RNAcentral